This 252-nucleotide ribosomal RNA is filed under the name uncultured bacterium. RNAcentral describes it as "partial 16S ribosomal RNA". It matches the Rfam family "Bacterial small subunit ribosomal RNA", at positions 524 to 776 of the family's 1533-position model. The record is from RNAcentral.
CACGAACCGUACGAACGUUAUUCGGAAUUACUGGGCUUAAAGGGUUUGUAGGCGGCCAUGUAAGUCAGGUGUGAAAUCCCUCGGCUCAACCGAGGAACGGCGCUUGAUACUGCAUGGCUUGAGGGAGACAGGGGUAGCGGAACUGAUGGUGGAGCGGUGAAAUGCGUUGAUAUCAUCAGGAACACCGGUGGCGAAAGCGGCUUACUGGGUCUCUUCUGACGCUGAGGAACGAAAGCUAGGGUAGCGAACGGG